Long non-coding RNA from Rhincodon typus (whale shark), 398 nucleotides. RefSeq lists it as uncharacterized. The transcript has 3 exons. The record is from RefSeq and is a predicted model, not a curated record. Lineage: Eukaryota; Metazoa; Chordata; Chondrichthyes; Orectolobiformes; Rhincodontidae.
AAUCCACACAAUGUGCAAAUCAUGUGACCUUAGUGUUAUACAAACAUACUUAGCACUGACAGGCUGUACUGCUUUGUAACAAUCAGCUUUUAUAAAUUAUUUAACAUUGAGAAACAGUUUUAUGUUACUUUUUUCCUCCACAUCAUGGCAUCUUUUCUUUUCAUUAUCUAUCACACGAAUGGAAAUCUUCAAGUACAGUUUGGAAUAUCUGAUCUGACCUCAAACUUAUUCUAAUGAUCAACAUCCUGACGCGGGGCACAAGAUGACUAAGACCUAACUGAAUUUGGAAUCUGGGACACAGCUACACAUUUUAAGAGAGUUGUGGACGCCAAUUGAUUAUCUGUAAGUGACUGUCCAAUUUGAAGUGAAUCAGUUUAGUUCAGCUUCACUACUGCCAG